Gasterosteus aculeatus aculeatus (three-spined stickleback) is the source of this 1557-nucleotide long non-coding RNA. RefSeq lists it as uncharacterized. NCBI's taxonomy places the organism in Eukaryota, Metazoa, Chordata, Actinopteri, Perciformes, Gasterosteidae. The record is from RefSeq and is a predicted model, not a curated record.
ACCGAUCAGAGCCCAAAUUGUCCAACUAACCCCAAAAACAUCUUUGUCGUCUUGAUCGCGACGUUUUACUCAGAACAACGGAAAACUAAAUCUAGAGCACCGGAUUUAUGUCUGAGGCAGAUGCAAAGAAACUGUGGAACUUUCACUUUGCACGUUGCAGGUAGACUACAAAGUUCAAAGUGUCGGGAAAAGGAGACCAGUGGUGAGAUGACGGAUGGCAGCGAAGGUGGGAUGAAGGUAAAUAGAGAAGGAUCAUCUACCGCUGUGUAGAUGUCAUUAAACCUCCCGCCACAAGGGGGCGCAGCGCCGCUGUCAAUGAGGCGAGAGGUCAGUGUGAUCAGGUGGUGGCCCGACGCAGGUGUUUCUGGCGCCUGCGAUAAUGAACGAAGAUGAACGUUAUGAUUCAUUGUGUUGAUGAUGUGACCGAGAAAGAGCCUCUGCUCUGAUUCUGGUAACGCCGAGAUGGUGAGUAAUCAAUUGCCUUUUAUCUUGGUUGAAAUCGGGUUGAAAUGCGGUCUGGACGUCUGCGACCUCGUUUCAACCGGCUAAAAAGUGGGCAAAACGUUAAUUUGUUAAUAAUGUGUCAUAUUGUAACGUAAGGUUGAAAGAGACUAUAUUAUCAUGACGAUUUUAAUAAAAUGGUCGGCGCAAUGCUCCACCUAAAACGUCAGAAAUAUGGACAAGAUGCUUUUAAGACGUAGCAAUGCGGUCAGUUUUACGCUCCGCUCACAUCUGUAACGCGCAUGCGCAAGUUCUUGGCCGCUUGCAGCGCUUCCACCGGAUGCGGCACGAGGCGAAGUUUGUGCGGCAGCAGAGCGACAUGAACCGGCUGAUAGAACCACGGCUACCGGCUCCAAUACUCUGUUUCUGUGGAUGCUGGAGGCCUGAUGGAGGUUACGCCUGAUGGAGGUUGUCCCUGCAGUGGUCCUGCCGUACACCUGGCUUACUACUAAAUAUUUGAAUCAUUUCUGUCGUAGGAAUUGAACGUACUCUAAAUCUUUAAGUUGUUCAUUCUGUACACACUUUUUUUCUCUGCAGUUCUCCUUUUGGUUUCUCUCAUUUGAAGGUUUCUGUUUUUUCCAUUUGAGUUUUUCCUGUUCCAUGUUUCGGGACCAGAAGUUGCAUGUUUGCGGACUGUAAAGCUCUCUAAUGCUCAUUUGUAAUUUUGGGCUGUACAAAAAUAAAAUGAUUUGAUUUGAAUUAACACGUUGACCGGAGGAAUCAGCCAUAUCUGUAAUUGAGGGGUGUUCUGUGCAUUCUGACUCCCUUUACACAAAGAAUCAAGUGACCAUAAGGGCGAUGGAGCUGAUCUCACGUAUUCUAUCCCAAUUCGUGACUCAGAACCAGAUCUUGUUACAGGAUCGGAAAAUGAAGUUCCAAAAAUUCAGCAAAAUGGGCUACAGACAGAUUUCUAAAUAAACUUGUCCAUGUUUAUACUUUUUUUUUUAAUUCAUAGUUUAUUUUCCCUGAAGUGUUUUACUUUUUUUAUUUAAGAAAUGGCAUAUGUAUAGUGUUAUAUUUUUAUUUAAUAAAUACUAUAAUGUUGAGGGCUGUUAA